This 68-nucleotide transfer RNA is filed under the name Marmota monax (woodchuck). RNAcentral describes it as "tRNA.Ile". It matches the Rfam family "tRNA", at positions 6 to 65 of the family's 71-position model. From Rfam's summary of the family: Transfer RNA (tRNA) molecules are approximately 80 nucleotides in length. Their secondary structure includes four short double-helical elements and three loops (D, anti-codon, and T loops). Further hydrogen bonds mediate the characteristic L-shaped molecular structure. tRNAs have two regions of fundamental functional importance: the anti-codon, which is responsible for specific mRNA codon recognition, and the 3' end, to which the tRNAs corresponding amino acid is attached (by aminoacyl-tRNA synthetases). tRNAs cope with the degeneracy of the genetic code in two manners: having more than one tRNA (with a specific anti-codon) for a particular amino acid; and 'wobble' base-pairing, i.e. permitting non-standard base-pairing at the 3rd anti-codon position. Lineage: Eukaryota; Metazoa; Chordata; Mammalia; Rodentia; Sciuridae. The record is from RNAcentral.
GUAUAUAGCUCAGUUGGUAGAGUGCUUGCCUUAUACACACAAGGCCCUGGGUUCAAUUCCCAGUAACA